GUUGGAAUUUCAGGCCUGGCUCUUCACCUCUCUGAGGCUCAGUUUUCCCUCCAGUAAAAUGGCACCAGCCAACAGCUGAUCCUCUGGGAGGCGUGAAGACCGAGUUGGCAGCCGAGGAGCUGUGAGGGUGCCUAGCCAGGCACCGAGUGGAGCUGUUCCGCAUUCAGGAUGGGCGAUGGCGGCUUCUGGGAAGGCAGAGGAGCCCCUCGGGGGGCAGGAAGAGGAAGAGCUGCCGGGAAGAGCUGUGGAGUCAGGAAACCAAGUCGCCUAGAAAGAACACACAAAGUGACAAACUCCUAUUCAUCCUUCAAAGCCCAGCUCAGAUGUUACCUUGUCACAGGAAACCCUGCAUGACUCUCCACCUACAGGGACUCUCUUCUGCAGCACAUCUCUACCUUGCACCUGUUU
Saimiri boliviensis boliviensis (Bolivian squirrel monkey) is the source of this 408-nucleotide long non-coding RNA. RefSeq lists it as uncharacterized. The record is from RefSeq and is a predicted model, not a curated record. NCBI's taxonomy places the organism in Eukaryota, Metazoa, Chordata, Mammalia, Primates, Cebidae.